Molecule: ribosomal RNA, 559 nt
Filed under: uncultured bacterium
Lineage: Bacteria
Description: partial 16S ribosomal RNA
Rfam family: Bacterial small subunit ribosomal RNA
Source: RNAcentral
UGGGAAUUUUGGACAAUUGGGCGAAAGCCUGAUCCAGCAAUGCCGCGUGUGUGAAGAAGGCCUUCGGGUUGUAAAGCACUUUUGUCCGGAAAGAAAUCCUUGGCUCUAAUACAGUCGGGGGAUGACGGUACCGGAAGAAUAAGCACCGGCUAACUACGUGCCAGCAGCCGCGGUAAUACGUAGGGUGCAAGCGUUAAUCGGAAUUACUGGGCGUAAAGCGUGCGCAGGCGGUUUGCUAAGACCGAUGUGAAAUCCCCGGGCUCAACCUGGGAACUGCAUUGGUGACUGGCAGGCUAGAGUAUGGCAGAGGGGGGUAGAAUUCCACGUGUAGCAGUGAAAUGCGUAGAGAUGUGGAGGAAUACCGAUGGCGAAGGCAGCCCCCUGGGCCAAUACUGACGCUCAUGCACGAAAGCGUGGGGAGCAAAACAGGAUUAGAUACCCUGGUAGUCCACGCCCUAAACGAUGUCAACUAGUUGUUGGGGAUUCAUUUCCUUAGUAACGUAGCUAACGCGUGAAGUUGACCGCCUGGGGAGUACGGUCGCAAGAUUAAAACUCAAAU